RNAcentral lists this ribosomal RNA (392 nucleotides) under uncultured bacterium. Its description in RNAcentral is "partial 16S ribosomal RNA". It matches the Rfam family "Bacterial small subunit ribosomal RNA", at positions 523 to 918 of the family's 1533-position model. The record is from RNAcentral.
AUACGGAGGAUCCGAGCGUUAUCCGGAUUUAUUGAGUUUAAAGGGUGCGCAGGCGGCCAUUUAAGUCAGCGGUUAAAUCGUGGGGCUCAACCCCAUUCUGCCGUUGAUACUGGGUGGCUUGAUUGCGGUCGAGGUUGGCGGAAUUCGUUGUGUAGCGGUGAAAUGCAGAGAUAUGACGAAGAACACCGAUUGCGUAGGCAGCUGACCAGACCGCAAAUGACGCUCAUGCACGAAAGUGCGGGGAUCGAACAGGAUUAGAUACCCUGGUAGUCCGCACAGUAAACGAUGAAUACUUGUUUUCGGCGAUAUAAUGUCGGAGGCAAAGCGAAAGCGAUAAGUAUUCCACCUGGGGAGUACGCCGGCAACGGUGAAACUCAAAUGAAUUGACGGGG